ACUUGAUGUGGCCGUCCGCGUCGAGGAGGACGUUGUCCAGCUUCAGGUCCCGGUAGAUGAUCCCUCUCUCGUGUAAGAAGUUGAGCGCGAUGCAGAUCUCGGCGGCGUAGAAUCUGGGGGCAGCAGAGCGAAAGAGCACACGUCUGAA
Long non-coding RNA from Herpailurus yagouaroundi (jaguarundi), 148 nucleotides. RefSeq lists it as uncharacterized. Lineage: Eukaryota; Metazoa; Chordata; Mammalia; Carnivora; Felidae. The record is from RefSeq and is a predicted model, not a curated record. The transcript has 3 exons.